UACAGAGGGUGCAAGCGUUGUUCGGAAUUAUUGGGCGUAAAGAGCUCGUAGGCGGCUUGGCAAGUCGGGUGUGAAAACUCCAGGCUCAACCUGGAGCCGCCAUUCGAUACUGCUAUGGCUAGAGUCCGGUAGGGGAGUGUGGAAUUCCCGGUGUAGCGGUGAAAUGCGCAGAUAUCAGGAGGAACACCGGUGGCGAAGGCGGGUCUCUGGGCCGAUACUGACGCUGAGGAGCGAAAGCGUGGGGAGCGAACAGG
This 254-nucleotide ribosomal RNA is filed under the name uncultured bacterium. RNAcentral describes it as "partial 16S ribosomal RNA". It matches the Rfam family "Bacterial small subunit ribosomal RNA", at positions 524 to 776 of the family's 1533-position model. The record is from RNAcentral.